GGGCCAGCCAACUUCGGGAGCUUCCUGGGUUAUCGGUGAAUUUUGGGCGGUCGUUGUUGGGUGCCGCAUG
Caenorhabditis elegans is the source of this 70-nucleotide non-coding RNA. Lineage: Eukaryota; Metazoa; Nematoda; Chromadorea; Rhabditida; Rhabditidae. The record is from Ensembl.